AGGGGCAGGCCCUGUUCCUAUUGGUCCCCAGUGAGAGCCUGUCCUUCUCUUUAGAUUUAAGCCACUAAGUUCUUCCUAAACUCAGCAGCUACCAGGAGGACUCAGCAUGUUGGGAGAACUGGUGGGCGCUGCACUAGGAGGAGGAGCCCUUGGACUCUCCACCACAGCCAGUGCCAUCACGGGGGCUGUCGGGGCAGCUGCUGUAGCUGCUGAAACCUUACUCUGAACUUAGGAGAUGACACUUCUCUGAGCUCAGCCCAAAGCCUAUACAGACUACCCAGGAGAUGAAGUUCCAAAAUGCACCUUCUGAACCCUCCCUGAUGUCAAGGAUGGAUGAAAAUAAAGUCUAUGGGCUGGGGUGCCUA
This is a long non-coding RNA of Apodemus sylvaticus (European woodmouse), 365 nucleotides long. RefSeq lists it as uncharacterized. The transcript is spliced from 3 exons. Lineage: Eukaryota; Metazoa; Chordata; Mammalia; Rodentia; Muridae. The record is from RefSeq and is a predicted model, not a curated record.